CUACGGGAGGCAGCAGUGGGGAAUAUUGCGCAAUGGGCGAAAGCCUGACGCAGCGACGCCGCGUGAGGGAUGAAGGGUUUUCGGAUCGUAAACCUCUGUCAGAAGGGAAGAAACUACGUUGUGCUAAUCAGCAGCGUACUGACGGUACCUUCAAAGGAAGCACCGGCUAACUCCGUGCCAGCAGCCGCGGUAA
Molecule: ribosomal RNA, 193 nt
Filed under: uncultured Desulfovibrio sp.
Lineage: Bacteria; Pseudomonadati; Thermodesulfobacteriota; Desulfovibrionia; Desulfovibrionales; Desulfovibrionaceae
Description: partial 16S ribosomal RNA
Rfam family: Bacterial small subunit ribosomal RNA
Source: RNAcentral